This 627-nucleotide ribosomal RNA is filed under the name uncultured Bacteroidota bacterium. Its description in RNAcentral is "bacterial SSU rRNA". It matches the Rfam family "Bacterial small subunit ribosomal RNA", at positions 60 to 690 of the family's 1533-position model. Lineage: Bacteria; Pseudomonadati; Bacteroidota. The record is from RNAcentral.
AGUCGAGGGGUAGUCUAGCAAUAGAUGAGACCGGCGCACGGGUGCGUAACGCGUAUGCAAUCUACCUUUUACAGAGGGAUAGCCCAGAGAAAUUUGGAUUAAUACCUCAUAGUAUAACGACUCGGCAUCGAGAUGUUAUUAAAGUUCCAACGGUAAAAGAUGAGCAUGCGUCCCAUUAGCUAGUUGGUGUGGUAACGGCGCACCAAGGCAACGAUGGGUAGGGGUCCUGAGAGGGAGAUCCCCCACACUGGUACUGAGACACGGACCAGACUCCUACGGGAGGCAGCAGUGAGGAAUAUUGGUCAAUGGGCGCAAGCCUGAACCAGCCAUGCCGCGUGCAGGAUGACGGUCCUAUGGAUUGUAAACUGCUUUUGUACAGGAAGAAACACUCCCUCGUGAGGGAGCUUGACGGUACUGUAAGAAUAAGGAUCGGCUAACUCCGUGCCAGCAGCCGCGGUAAUACGGAGGAUCCAAGCGUUAUCCGGAAUCAUUGGGUUUAAAGGGUCCGUAGGCGGGUUUAUAAGUCAGUGGUGAAAGCCCAUCGCUCAACGAUGGAACGGCCAUUGAUACUGUAGAUCUUGAAUUAUUAGGAAGUAACUAGAAUAUGUAGUGUAGCGGUGAAAUGCU